This is a non-coding RNA of Nothobranchius furzeri (turquoise killifish), 991 nucleotides long. NCBI's taxonomy places the organism in Eukaryota, Metazoa, Chordata, Actinopteri, Cyprinodontiformes, Nothobranchiidae. The record is from RefSeq and is a predicted model, not a curated record.
ACUGGUCCUGGUAGAUUGUUUAGAAUUUAUAAUUCAGAAAUUAAAGAUUCUCAAAUGAUCCCAUCUCUCUCUCUUUUCUUGUCUCAAAGUCAAUACAGAGUGUUUAAUUAAACUCCCUGAUGAUAAAAACAGCCUAUUCUUCUGUUUAUAAAAAGUGAACUACCUACAGUGUAUUAAAAUACAACUUUAGAUAGUUACAUCACUUUGAUUCCAUUACAUAUGGCGAGCCUAGCUUGAUAUCUGCAUAGUUUAUUACACUUUGUGCCGACUCUGAGACAUUUUAUUUGGGAUUUUUGGUUCAGUCUGUGUGUUAGAGAAAAGAAAAGCGAGCGCUUCCUCAUUCAGCUCUCAGAAAGGGGGGUGCACAUUCAUCACCCUCCGACAGGAGGCGCUGUUUCAUCAAAACACCUUGGCUGUGUCUCAAUUCAGGGUCUGCAUCCUACCUCGGCCGGAUUCGUCGGCCGGUUACGUCACAGCGCCGCGACUCGGCCUGUCCCAUUUCGAAGACUCCUUCAAAUGCGGUCGACGAAUGCGGCCUUCUUUUCGCCUGAAUGAAGGAUGGGUCGGGUGUAUCCUUCAAUAGGUAGCAUUUCCCAAGAUGCCUUGCGGGCCGGCUGGCAGAAAAACUUAAAAACAAUGGCGGACAGUGAAGCGGGAGCUGUCGGAGAGGAUUGCGCAUAUAAAUGACCAAAAGAGAAAACCAGGGAAUUUAUUAAGCUUAGGGCGGAGAUGGACCACAUGAUCACCGGAGCAAAGUAUUCGGCGGCUGUGGCAUGGAGACUAUUCUGGAGAAAAUGGGCAUCCAGGGGAAGGUGCCAGCGAUGAGCUUCUGGAGCUGAUCUGGGAGGACAUGAGGCUGCAGAGCAGCAGAGAGCACAGGAGAGAAGGAAGAACUUUGACAGCUUUUUACUUUGCUAGAAAAAAAUGGUUAAUGAAGAUUAAACAUGUACAUAUAAAAGAAAUAUCUAAAUAAAAUCAGUUCUGCAUUAAA